This 484-nucleotide ribosomal RNA is filed under the name uncultured bacterium. RNAcentral describes it as "partial 16S ribosomal RNA". It matches the Rfam family "Bacterial small subunit ribosomal RNA", at positions 30 to 507 of the family's 1533-position model. The record is from RNAcentral.
AUUGAACGCUGGCGGCAGGCCUAACACAUGCAAGUCGAGCGGAUGAAGGGAGCUUGCUCCUGGAUUCAGCGGCGGACGGGUGAGUAAUGCCUAGGAAUCUGUCUGGUAGUGGGGGAUAACGUCAGGAAACGGGCGCUAAUACCGCAUACGUUCUGAGGGAGAAAGUGGGGGAUCUUCGGACCUCACGCUAUCAGAUGAGCCUAGGUCGGAUUAGCUAGUUGGUUGGGUAAAGGCCUACCAAGGCGACGAUCCGUAACUGGUCUGAUAGGAUGAUCGGUCACACUGGAACUGAGACACGGUCCAGACUCCUACGGGAGGCAGCAGUGGGGAAUAUUGGGCAAUGGGCGAAAGCCUGACCCAGCCAUGCCGCGUGUGUGAAGAAGGUCUUCGGAUUGUAAAGCACGUUAAGUUGGGAGGAAGGGCAGUAGGUUAAUACCUUGCUGUUUUGACGUUACCAACAGAAUAAGCACCGGCUAACUACGUG